Molecule: ribosomal RNA, 2549 nt
Filed under: Staphylococcus aureus
Lineage: Bacteria; Bacillati; Bacillota; Bacilli; Caryophanales; Staphylococcaceae
Description: bacterial LSU rRNA
Rfam family: Bacterial large subunit ribosomal RNA
Source: RNAcentral
AAUCCUGUAGUCGAAAAUGUUGUCUCUCUUGAGUGGAUCCUGAGUACGACGGAGCACGUGAAAUUCCGUCGGAAUCUGGGAGGACCAUCUCCUAAGGCUAAAUACUCUCUAGUGACCGAUAGUGAACCAGUACCGUGAGGGAAAGGUGAAAAGCACCCCGGAAGGGGAGUGAAAUAGAACCUGAAACCGUGUGCUUACAAGUAGUCAGAGCCCGUUAAUGGGUGAUGGCGUGCCUUUUGUAGAAUGAACCGGCGAGUUACGAUUUGAUGCAAGGUUAAGCAGUAAAUGUGGAGCCGUAGCGAAAGCGAGUCUGAAUAGGGCGUUUAGUAUUUGGUCGUAGACCCGAAACCAGGUGAUCUACCCUUGGUCAGGUUGAAGUUCAGGUAACACUGAAUGGAGGACCGAACCGACUUACGUUGAAAAGUGAGCGGAUGAACUGAGGGUAGCGGAGAAAUUCCAAUCGAACCUGGAGAUAGCUGGUUCUCUCCGAAAUAGCUUUAGGGCUAGCCUCAAGUGAUGAUUAUUGGAGGUAGAGCACUGUUUGGACGAGGGGCCCCUCUCGGGUUACCGAAUUCAGACAAACUCCGAAUGCCAAUUAAUUUAACUUGGGAGUCAGAACAUGGGUGAUAAGGUCCGUGUUCGAAAGGGAAACAGCCCAGACCACCAGCUAAGGUCCCAAAAUAUAUGUUAAGUGGAAAAGGAUGUGGCGUUGCCCAGACAACUAGGAUGUUGGCUUAGAAGCAGCCAUCAUUUAAAGAGUGCGUAAUAGCUCACUAGUCGAGUGACACUGCGCCGAAAAUGUACCGGGGCUAAACAUAUUACCGAAGCUGUGGAUUGUCCUUUGGACAAUGGUAGGAGAGCGUUCUAAGGGCGUUGAAGCAUGAUCGUAAGGACAUGUGGAGCGCUUAGAAGUGAGAAUGCCGGUGUGAGUAGCGAAAGACGGGUGAGAAUCCCGUCCACCGAUUGACUAAGGUUUCCAGAGGAAGGCUCGUCCGCUCUGGGUUAGUCGGGUCCUAAGCUGAGGCCGACAGGCGUAGGCGAUGGAUAACAGGUUGAUAUUCCUGUACCACCUAUAAUCGUUUUAAUCGAUGGGGGGACGCAGUAGGAUAGGCGAAGCGUGCGAUUGGAUUGCACGUCUAAGCAGUAAGGCUGAGUAUUAGGCAAAUCCGGUACUCGUUAAGGCUGAGCUGUGAUGGGGAGAAGACAUUGUGUCUUCGAGUCGUUGAUUUCACACUGCCGAGAAAAGCCUCUAGAUAGAAAAUAGGUGCCCGUACCGCAAACCGACACAGGUAGUCAAGAUGAGAAUUCUAAGGUGAGCGAGCGAACUCUCGUUAAGGAACUCGGCAAAAUGACCCCGUAACUUCGGGAGAAGGGGUGCUCUUUAGGGUUAACGCCCAGAAGAGCCGCAGUGAAUAGGCCCAAGCGACUGUUUAUCAAAAACACAGGUCUCUGCUAAACCGUAAGGUGAUGUAUAGGGGCUGACGCCUGCCCGGUGCUGGAAGGUUAAGAGGAGUGGUUAGCUUCUGCGAAGCUACGAAUCGAAGCCCCAGUAAACGGCGGCCGUAACUAUAACGGUCCUAAGGUAGCGAAAUUCCUUGUCGGGUAAGUUCCGACCCGCACGAAAGGCGUAACGAUUUGGGCACUGUCUCAACGAGAGACUCGGUGAAAUCAUAGUACCUGUGAAGAUGCAGGUUACCCGCGACAGGACGGAAAGACCCCGUGGAGCUUUACUGUAGCCUGAUAUUGAAAUUCGGCACAGCUUGUACAGGAUAGGUAGGAGCCUUUGAAACGUGAGCGCUAGCUUACGUGGAGGCGCUGGUGGGAUACUACCCUAGCUGUGUUGGCUUUCUAACCCGCACCACUUAUCGUGGUGGGAGACAGUGUCAGGCGGGCAGUUUGACUGGGGCGGUCGCCUCCUAAAAGGUAACGGAGGCGCUCAAAGGUUCCCUCAGAAUGGUUGGAAAUCAUUCAUAGAGUGUAAAGGCAUAAGGGAGCUUGACUGCGAGACCUACAAGUCGAGCAGGGUCGAAAGACGGACUUAGUGAUCCGGUGGUUCCGCAUGGAAGGGCCAUCGCUCAACGGAUAAAAGCUACCCCGGGGAUAACAGGCUUAUCUCCCCCAAGAGUUCACAUCGACGGGGAGGUUUGGCACCUCGAUGUCGGCUCAUCGCAUCCUGGGGCUGUAGUCGGUCCCAAGGGUUGGGCUGUUCGCCCAUUAAAGCGGUACGCGAGCUGGGUUCAGAACGUCGUGAGACAGUUCGGUCCCUAUCCGUCGUGGGCGUAGGAAAUUUGAGAGGAGCUGUCCUUAGUACGAGAGGACCGGGAUGGACAUACCUCUGGUGUACCAGUUGUCGUGCCAACGGCAUAGCUGGGUAGCUAUGUGUGGACGGGAUAAGUGCUGAAAGCAUCUAAGCAUGAAGCCCCCCUCAAGAUGAGAUUUCCCAACUUCGGUUAUAAGAUCCCUCAAAGAUGAUGAGGUUAAUAGGUUCGAGGUGGAAGCAUGGUGACAUGUGGAGCUGACGAAUACUAAUCGAUCGAAGACUUAAUCAA